Long non-coding RNA from Myotis lucifugus (little brown bat), 694 nucleotides. RefSeq lists it as uncharacterized. NCBI's taxonomy places the organism in Eukaryota, Metazoa, Chordata, Mammalia, Chiroptera, Vespertilionidae. The record is from RefSeq and is a predicted model, not a curated record. The transcript is spliced from 2 exons.
UGGGCUGCUCUGGGGGGCCUCCUCUGCUGCUUGUGCUGACAGGCUGCACCCCACACCUUGGGAUUCCAGAACAUUGGACAAGGCGCUCAGUCCUACCUGGCUCCCCGCCCCUUGCACAGAGUAACUCCCAGUGCCCAGAGAGGUUGAUGCUGAGACUUCCUUGGGGCCGGAGGGCCUCCUGAGGCUUCUGGGAGGAGAUGGACCAGCCGCAGCUACAGGUGUGUGCUGGCUGUGCCCUUGUCCCACCUCAGUGUGGCCUGGCUGCCUGGGCUUCAGCCCUUCUUGGUCAUUGUCCCUAUCUUGUCCCCCCCACCCCCACCCCCCAUUGGCUUCUUGAUGCUCCGGGCAUUCCCAGGCACUGUCCUGCCUCUGAGCCCCCACACAUGCUGUUCCCUCAGCCCUUCUCCCUCCCCUGGCGACUCUCAUUCCUCCUCCUCUACUACCUUCACCUCCACCUGGGUCCAGCCUGCCUGGUCUCCCAGAGGGACCCGAGCCUUCCUCCGUGCCCCCCUCCCCGGUGCCCUCCUGCCCUCAGCCUUCCUCCGCAUUGGCAGCCUCAGCAGGGGCGGGUUUCACCACCGGGUUUUGUGCCUGCCACCCCGGCCCAGCUUCUCCCAGGCUGGCCGCUGGGUCCUCUGCAGUGACGACCCUGCACCUGGCACCCAGGAAAAGCUCAAUAAACUUUUGCAAAAUA